Long non-coding RNA from Vitis vinifera (wine grape), 3218 nucleotides. RefSeq lists it as uncharacterized. The record is from RefSeq and is a predicted model, not a curated record. The transcript has 4 exons. Lineage: Eukaryota; Viridiplantae; Streptophyta; Magnoliopsida; Vitales; Vitaceae.
CUCUGUUUGGUGGCUGAGAAACUUAGGAAAAUGUAAGAAAAAUGAAUAAGAUUUUGAAGUUGCUUCUUCUAUUUUCCUUUUGUCAGCCACCGAACCGGACCCUAGAUUUUACUUUGUUUGGAAUCCGAGAAAGCACAACAAACCUUCGCUUAACUCAGCUUAGUUCAACUAUUUACGUUCGUUGGGGUUAGAGAUCGACUGAUAAUUCCAAUCUGUGCUAAUAGAUUGAGAGAUCUUUUGCAUUUUUUGGAUUCUCAUUCUCACAUUGUUUUCAGGGGACUUGAUGCAAAAUGGGAAGUCACAGAAAAGGAAAGUUUCCCUGGGAAGUGAUUGAGCUCUUACCCAGCUGAUUGCCAAUGAACAGUGGAAAGACAACUUACUAGUUUCCUUGCUCUUGACCUGGCAGCAGAUUCUCUGUUCUUUAUCAUUCUGCGCCUAAUCUUCUCAGCAGCGGCUGUUUCUGUGGCAUCAGCAUCAGCUGUGUUGAUGACAGUCUCUGUACUUCCAUUUCCGGGACUGAACAUGUUAAUGAACUGAUGGUAAGGGUGUGCCCCCUGAACAGCUUGUUUCUCUGCAUUCACUUCAUAGGGAUUCACCAUGCUGAAGCCAUUGAUGACUUGAUGAGGUAGUUCCUUCUGAUGCCCGUCUCCAGCCCCUCCAUGUCCGACCCCAAAGCCUGCAGAUCCCAUUGGUUCCAAAACAUUGCCAGCUCUGUGAAUUGGGAACUGGCUUGAUCCUGACCCAUUUCCGAUGGAUAGCAAAGUCUUUUCUUUGUUUCUCAGGCUCUUCAUUCUCAUCCAAUUUUGUAGAGAUUCUUGGGCGUUUUCCCAGUUUCCAGAAAGAACAAAAUUUGCUGGUUGGAUCAUGUCUGAAACAAGAGAUGAUGGGGUUUGAAAUUGCUGGGCUCCUUGGAGAUGCGCCCCUAAAGACAAAGGGCUGAGUUGAACUGACUUCCCUUCAUUGGAAUUGGGGAACACAGGAAACAUGGUGUCUGGUUUUUGAAGAUGCAGACCGAAACUUCAAUUCUGGACCUGAUAUCAGCUGAGAAAUUGGCAACAAAAACAAGAAAUGUAAUUGAAUUAUGAUGCAUGCAAGAAUCUCAUUGUCACAUUGAAAACAAAUGCAAAUCCUCUAAAGAAAACAGAAUUCUGAUAUGAGGAUGUAUAUCUCUUCCUAAAAUUUAUCAGAUGAACUAUGCUAGUGAAUGGUUUUUUUAUCUUUUCAAAUUCCUUAUGAAUCAGCAAAACGAUAACCAAGCUGUACUACCUUUGAGCUGUACUGUUACAGACCAAUUUGGUGCUUCAAGGAUGGACUGAAUUUCCAAAAACCUUCACCUUCAUUGUCAAGUUGUGUUGAGUACUGUAUGAAAGCACACAGAGAGAGUAUGGACCUGAGAAAUAUAAGGACAGAGAAGAUAGACUUGAGAGAUAUAAGCGACACAGAAGAUAGAGGAAGGGAAGAAACUUUAUGCCGAGUGGCAGAGAUGCUCUGAAAAUCAACAUGCAAGAGCUCGGCGGAAGUAUCAAGGCCAAUCAGUUUUACCAAAAAGGAAAAAGGUUGAAACCGAUGCUUUCAUUGUGAGGUUGUAAGGGUGCAGCAAAUAAAGACACUUCAAGCUUAUCAGGUAAUACUUUUAUUACUGUGAGUGCUGCUACGUUUUUAGAAUUACUUUCUCUGGUUUGCUUUUGCAAAUAGAAUGGUGUAUAAAUGUUUCUUGACUUCACAAAAUAUUAUAAAAUGCCAUUGGAUUGAUCAAAAAAGCAAUUUAAAAGAUGUAUGUAUUUCCAAUCUUAUUUAUCAAUUCGCAAAAUCUUAGACUGUAAAAGUAUAGACCAAUUAGCUUUUUUCCCUUCUAAAAAAUUGGUGUUCUUAAGCCUCCUUUAUUUUUCUCCAUGCUUGUUUGGUAACAUUAUGUGGUUAGACUUCUAAUUUUUUGCUAUGUUUGUUUACCAUGUGAUCUCCUAAACUACAUGUUUUCCCACUAUAUUUAUGGAGGUUUAGGUCAGUGAUGAUGAUUGCAUGGAAAAAACUUCAUGCUAAGUAGUUAAGGGACAUCCAUGAUUAUGUCUAAAGUAUCAUUUUCGUGACUUCAACUCAGUGCAGAAGUUCAAAACACUCAAGUCUCCUGAUUAGAGCAAGAACAUGGAUCUUUCUCUUGGUUUCUUACCACAAUAUUUUUCUUAUCUUAUCAAAACACAAACUUUUGGGCACAAAAUUGAUUGCAAGUUGUAUAAUUCCUAGUAUUUAUUCAGUCUAAUCUUGUGCAUUUUGGUGGAUCCCAAAUACCACAAACUUUGGCACAACUUUUGCAUUCUGAUGAUGAAAACAUUGUUGUGCCAUCACGCAAUAUUAAUACAUGGACUAAAACCGCCAUUGCCCUCUUCUAAAAUAAAUAGGAAAGUAUGGGAAACUAGUGACAGCAAAUUGUUUGAUUAGGCAAUGGCCACAAAUUUGCAAUAGCAAGCAGAAAAAUAGAGGUAGUCGGAAAUCUAAAAUCAAGCUACUAACAGAUGCUCUGAAUUUGGUUCUCAUUCUCAUUCUCAUUUGAGUUUCAUAUUUUCUCUGCACUAAAAAAGAAAGAAGAAACCCCCAUUUUAAUUUCGGCUUUGUCCUAUACAUCUCCUCAUGAAAAGCAAAGAGAAUUUCCAGCAGUGACCAACAGAAGAACUUCUUCAGGUUGAAUUGCCUAGCAACUUUUUUCAGGGAGGAGACCGGACAUCGAUGAAAAGCCUCGUAUGUACUAGUUAUCUAUUGCUAAAGUAGAUAUAGCUGAGAUUCAGAGGAAAUCAUCUUCCUUAAUGUCACCACCCCAAAGCUGCUCUGUGAAACACCACAAGAGACGUGGCCAGGCCUACAGUGACUCCAGCUCUAGCCUCUCAAGCCUCAGUUCUGGGUGCUAAACCAGAGGCCGUUCCUGUCACAAUUGAAAGCUCAGUAGCUCCAACUUUUAGUUAAGCAUCAUUCACACUAAAGGAGUUGAAUGAAUGAAUAUCAAUAGUUUAUGAUUUGGUUGGUGUCAUGUUUUAUAGUUGUUUUCAAAGACCGAAGGGUGUGAAGGAAAUCCUUCUUACCUCUGAAAAUGUUCAUCUCAGGAUGUUUUACAUAUUGUAUGGAGCUUCUUUUGUUGUACAAGAAUUUGUACGUAAGCAUUUCAUUCAUUAUUUUUUGAACUUUGUUACAAUAUUGGUUGCCAUUUAUUAUAGUUUUUGUUUGCUGAA